RNAcentral lists this long non-coding RNA (220 nucleotides) under Carica papaya (papaya). Its description in RNAcentral is "long non-coding RNA (CPAP_LNC008950)". Lineage: Eukaryota; Viridiplantae; Streptophyta; Magnoliopsida; Brassicales; Caricaceae. The record is from RNAcentral.
AAAUCUAUUUUUUACAAUUCAUUAUAAAUAAAUUAGAAAAUCAAAUAAUUUUCUUUUAGUUAAUUUCCUUUUCACUUCUAAGUUAUGAUUCUCAAGCAUUGACAUGUGCACAUUAAUCUUAACCAACUCCUUUUGUUGGUGCCAACAAUGAAUCAAUUUUUAAGAGGAAUUUUAUGGUUAAUCACUAAUCUGAUCUUGGCUAUUAAAUUCAUUGAAAAGU